GACCACACGGGAGCGCCGUACAGGGCCAUU
Molecule: small RNA, 30 nt
Filed under: Bombyx mori (domestic silkworm)
Lineage: Eukaryota; Metazoa; Arthropoda; Insecta; Lepidoptera; Bombycidae
Description: ovarian small RNA-15430
Source: RNAcentral